RNAcentral lists this ribosomal RNA (1116 nucleotides) under Boudabousia liubingyangii. Its description in RNAcentral is "bacterial SSU rRNA". It matches the Rfam family "Bacterial small subunit ribosomal RNA", at positions 1 to 1124 of the family's 1533-position model. Lineage: Bacteria; Bacillati; Actinomycetota; Actinomycetes; Actinomycetales; Actinomycetaceae. The record is from RNAcentral.
CGGAGAGUUUGAUCCUGGCUCAGGACGAACGCUGGCGGCGUGCUUAACACAUGCAAGUCGAACGAUGAAGCGGUGCUUGCACCGUGGAUUAGUGGCGAACGGGUGAGUAACACGUGAGUAACCUGCCCCCUUCUUUGGGAUAAGCAUUGGAAACGGUGUCUAAUACUGAAUAUUCACACAUGGGCGCAUGUUUGUGUGUGGAAAGUUUUUCGGUGGGGGAUGGGCUCGCGGCCUAUCAGCUUGUUGGUGGGGUGAUGGCCUACCAAGGCUUUGACGGGUAGCCGGCCUGAGAGGGUGACCGGUCACACUGGGACUGAGAUACGGCCCAGACUCCUACGGGAGGCAGCAGUGGGGAAUAUUGCACAAUGGGCGAAAGCCUGAUGCAGCGACGCCGCGUGAGGGAUGACGGCCUUCGGGUUGUAAACCUCUUUCAGUAAGGACGCAGGGGCAUCUUUGGGUGUUUUGACGGUACUUGCAGAAGAAGCGCCGGCUAACUACGUGCCAGCAGCCGCGGUAAUACGUAGGGCGCAAGCGUUGUCCGGAAUUAUUGGGCGUAAAGAGCUUGUAGGCGGUUUGUCGCGUCUGUCGUGAAAUCCAGCAGCUUAACUGUUGGCUUGCGGUGGGUACGGGCAGACUAGAGUGUGGUAGGGGAGACUGGAAUUCCUGGUGUAGCGGUGGAAUGCGCAGAUAUCAGGAGGAACACCGAUGGCGAAGGCAGGUCUCUGGGCCAUUACUGACGCUGAGAAGCGAAAGCGUGGGGAGCGAACAGGAUUAGAUACCCUGGUAGUCCACGCCGUAAACGUUGGGCACUAGGUGUGGGGGGCUUUUUGGUCUUCUGCGCCGUAGCUAACGCAUUAAGUGCCCCGCCUGGGGAGUACGGCCGCAAGGCUAAAACUCAAAGGAAUUGACGGGGGCCCGCACAAGCGGCGGAGCAUGCGGAUUAAUUCGAUGCAACGCGAAGAACCUUACCAAGGCUUGACAUGCACUGGAACACUGCAGAGAUGUGGUGGUCUUCGGACUGGUGUACAGGUGGUGCAUGGUUGUCGUCAGCUCGUGUCGUGAGAUGUUGGGUUAAGUCCCGCAACGAGCGCAACCCUUGUCUCGUGUUGCCAGCAC